This 497-nucleotide ribosomal RNA is filed under the name uncultured bacterium. RNAcentral's name for it is "partial 16S ribosomal RNA". It matches the Rfam family "Bacterial small subunit ribosomal RNA", at positions 28 to 507 of the family's 1533-position model. The record is from RNAcentral.
GAUGAACGCUGGCGGCGUGCCUAAUACAUGCAAGUCGAGCGAACAGACGAGGAGCUUGCUCCUCUGACGUUAGCGGCGGACGGGUGAGUAACACGUGGAUAACCUACCUAUAAGACUGGGAUAACUUCGGGAAACCGGAGCUAAUACCGGAUAAUAUAUUGAACCGCAUGGUUCAAUAGUGAAAGACGGUUUUGCUGUCACUUAUAGAUGGAUCCGCGCCGCAUUAGCUAGUUGGUAAGGUAACGGCUUACCAAGGCGACGAUGCGUAGCCGACCUGAGAGGGUGAUCGGCCACACUGGAACUGAGACACGGUCCAGACUCCUACGGGAGGCAGCAGUAGGGAAUCUUCCGCGAUGGGCGAAAGCCUGACGGAGCAACGCCGCGUGAGUGAUGAAGGUCUUCGGAUCGUAAAACUCUGUUAUUAGGGAAGAACAAAUGUGUAAGUAACUAUGCACGUCUUGACGGUACCUAAUCAGAAAGCCACAGCUAACUACGUG